GAUCCUGGCUCAGGAUGAACGCUGGCGGCGUGCCUAACACAUGCAAGUCGAGCGAAGCAAUCGAGAUGAAGUUUUCGGAUGGAUUCUUAAUUGACUGAGCGGCGGACGGGUGAGUAACGCGUGGGUAACCUGCCUCAUACAGGGGGAUAACAGUUAGAAAUGACUGCUAAUACCGCAUAAGCGCACAGUACCACAUGGUGCGGUGUGAAAAACUCCGGUGGU
Molecule: ribosomal RNA, 222 nt
Filed under: uncultured bacterium
Lineage: Bacteria
Description: partial 16S ribosomal RNA
Rfam family: Bacterial small subunit ribosomal RNA
Source: RNAcentral